CAAGUUGCAUUGUUGUUCGUUUGUGAGCUCUGGGUACCGCGCACGUUCAGGAUCAGUCAUGGCGCUCCGCCAGAUUUUUGCUCGAACUUGGACACACGGAAAAUUUCCAGGGUUUAGAUCAGUGUACGAUGAGCGAUUGACAGACGUUGCCAGAGCGAGAGGUGCCUUGUUUUGCCAAUUGCGAUCUCUGACCUCGGAUGAAUCAUCCUCCGAAGAGAAACUUGCUGCAGAUGCUGCCCGCCGACACAAUCGGGAUAAACCCAACGUCUUCCAAAAGAUCAUCAGUGGGGAUAUCCAGGCUGAUACAAUCUAUGAAGAUGAGCAGUGCAUGGCAUUUCGGGACGUCAAUCCAGUGGCACCAACUCACAUCAUUGUCAUCCCGCGCAAGCCAAUUCCUUGCCUGAGUGAAUCCACUGAUUCCGAUGCUCCUCUUCUUGGACAUCUAAUGACUGUGGCACGUAAAGUAGCUGCCCUGGAAGAACUGAAGGAUGGUUUCAGGAUCGUGAUGAAUGACGGUCGCCAUGGUUCCCAAUCCAUCUACCACCUCCAUGUCCAUGUUAUUGGAGGACGACAGAUGCGCUGGCCACCAGGCUAACGAGUGACGACCAGGCUAGAGGGUUUCUUCAAGACUGAGCAAUCGUAGAGGCAGAGUGGCAACAUAUAUAAUGAGAUGUGAUUUGGGUUAUUAUUCAAACUGAUGAUUGCCAGCAAACAAAAUAUUCUUCAAAGUACUAUAGGCCCUGUGCAUGAGCUUUUUUGUGCGCUGUGGGCAGACGCAUGAAGUCAAGUUCUACACAUGAACACUGUGUAACAUUCAACAACUGAUUUUCAGCAGAAUGUGCACAAACCUUCAGCCAAUUCAUGUGUUAAAGAAUGUGCACAGCGUACAUGCUUGCAAAGUAUUUUUUUUCUUUUGAGUGCAUUUUCCCCAUUUUCCAGUACCCUAGGUGCAUUCUUUACCUACAAGUCCUCAGUAAUAUUUAUUAUUUCCGGUCUUUUUGCAUCUGGUUUCAUUUGAUGAACCAAAGCCAUCAUUGUCAGGUUAACAAACUCAUCCCAGUGUAUUAUGCGAUAAAGAAUUGGGUUUGUUUGUUUUUAAAGUAUUUUUUUGCAAGGACAUGGUUAGUAAGUAUACCUUAUUAAUGUUUACAUGUUUUGACCCAUUCAGAUGGUGUGCAUGCAUGUAUUGGUAACCAGGCAACAAAUUGUUUUAACUCUCACAAAUCAACGUCAGGCACUGCAUAUUUUGUGAAAUCAAUUAUUUCACAGUUGUUCAGUAUUUGUAAUUUUUUGGCAAAAACGUUGCAUGGCUUCACUGUGAUGCCCUUCCUAAAAAAAAUGCAGUUUGCUCUACAUUACAGUGAGACCUCACCACAUUUUGGUAAAAGCCCUCAAAAUAUUAACAGAUAACAAUAGAAGUCCUGAGUUCACAAAGUUCAAGUACGUGUCGUGGUAGUCAAGCCAGGGAGGGUUCUGGCAGAGAUGAUAGCAUGAAUGCACGAAUCGACUUGAGCACACCCACGCAACAGAUUUGAGUUUGACUUGAGUUCACAUCAUGGACUUAGGGCCCAUGGUACUCAUGCAGUUUCUGAGCAUUCAAUUUAUGAUGCGGCAAAUAAGGGGUAUGCGUACUUCAGAUAAAUCACUUCAUGAUGAGACUGUGGAGAUUGUAGUUCCCCUUUUGACUCACCUCAUUUCCUUUCAUUUUGUUGAUGUAUUACCAUUGAAACAUUGAAGACAUGCAGAAAGUCUUAUGAAUGUUGAAUUUCCUUUCUUUUCUCAAUUGAGUGACAAGUAUCCAAAUUUCUGUUAAAAGAGAAAGAAAAAUGGAAAAUUAUGUCUAAUGUAUUGUAAUGCAACUACUACUACAGUUGCAUCUUGUUAAAAAUUAACGAAAAAAAACGAUGUGAUAGGUUGUCUGCCACUUCACAUUUACCCACCCUGUCUAUGGAAUAUGAAAAGAUACCACCUAUACAGGCAUUUGUGGUGAAGCACCACUGAUCUAGAGUCUCUUUGAUGGUGGGUUGUCCGGUUCCAAGCAGUCCAAAUAGUAUGUCCUGUUUGUCAUGAGGAGACUUGUCCAUGAACCCUUCAAGUCACAUUCACCAGUAAAUCCAAUCCAUUUCUCGUCACUGCAUUCAAACAAGUUUGGUGAUUAUCAUAUUAACAACUGUCCCUUGCAAUAUGAAAGUGCAUGUGUCGCUAAAGUAUAGUUCUAAGGAGUUUGAAGUCAGUGAUGUGUAAUGAAGUGUCAGAUGUGAUUAUUUUUAAGAAUAAACUUUGAAAGUCUA
This 2291-nucleotide unclassified non-coding RNA is filed under the name Acanthaster planci (crown-of-thorns starfish). RNAcentral's name for it is "histidine triad nucleotide-binding protein 1-like, transcript variant X1". Lineage: Eukaryota; Metazoa; Echinodermata; Asteroidea; Valvatida; Acanthasteridae. The record is from RNAcentral.